GGGGUUGUGGGUCAGUGGUAGAACACUUGCCUAGCACGUGCAAGGCCCUGGGUUCGAUCCUCAGCACCCCA
Molecule: transfer RNA, 71 nt
Filed under: Marmota monax (woodchuck)
Lineage: Eukaryota; Metazoa; Chordata; Mammalia; Rodentia; Sciuridae
Description: tRNA.Ala
Source: RNAcentral